AUACUCGCUUCGGCAGCACAUGUAAUAAAAUCGGAACGAUACAGAGAAGAUUAGCAUGGCCCCUGCACAAGGAUGACACACAAAUUAGGGAACUGUUCCAUAUUUUG
Small nuclear RNA from Balaenoptera musculus (blue whale), 107 nucleotides. Lineage: Eukaryota; Metazoa; Chordata; Mammalia; Artiodactyla; Balaenopteridae. The record is from Ensembl.